UGGAUAAAAAGAAGUAAAAGGAAAAGUAACGGUGUUUAUAUCUCUCUUCUGUUCUUUGACCUCUCUCUACGCUUUCUCUUCUUUUAAACCUCUUAAAGCUUCGCGUUCAAUUCCAUUUGUUUUUUUUUUUUUGAAAAUUUUCUUUUUAUCUUUCUCGAAUUUGAUCUUUAGCUCAAUCACGGAGCUUAGAUCUAAUAGUAAUCAGGAACAAUGUCUUUUGCUGCGCGGAAUUAUCAUUCACAGGGCAGUACUCUCCACGAUGAUCGUUGCCACACGUUCAAUAGAAACAACUACAAUAAUAACAGGAACAGGAAUAUAAACACGCAUAGGCACAACAGCAACAGCACUAAUAACACCCACAACUACAACUACAACUACAACUACAACAAUAACUGGAAUUAUAACCACGACUUCUCAGGCAAAUUCAGGGACCAUAUUGACAGCGAAAAUAACAAUUAUGUUUACCCUCCUAAUGACGCUCCCUCCUUGAAAAGGAGAAAAUUUAGUGCUGGUACUUGGGAAGAUGUCAGGAGAGAAUUUGUUCAGCCUGUCUCGUAUGAAAGUGCUGCUUCUUCAGCCUAUAACAAUUUAGUCCCUCUUACAAGAUCAAAUGCUGAGACUUCUACAUCUACCAGCUGCAAACGUGACCGCUCGAAAUUGGAAGAUGAUGAUCCAGUGUUUAUGUCCAGGGAUGAGAUUGAAAGACACUCCCCAUCAAGGAAAGAUGGUAUCGAUGCACUGCGUGAGUCACAUUUGCGAUAUUCUUAUUGCGCGUUCCUUCAAAAUCUUGGGGUGCGGCUUGACUUACCACAAACCACCAUCGGCACUGCUAUGGUUUUGUGCCAUCGUUUUUUCGUUCGAAGAUCACAUGCUUGCCACGACAGAUUUUUAAUUGCUACUGCUGCUCUGUUUCUUGCUUCAAAAUCUGAGGAGACACCACGCCCUUUGAACAACAUGUUGAGAGCAUCUUCUGAGAUUCUCCACAAGCAAGAUAUGUCUUUGCUGUCAUACCUGCUCCCUGUUGAUUGGUUUGAACAGUACCGGGAGCGAGUGAUUGAGGCUGAGCAAAUGAUAUUGACAACACUAAAUUUUGAACUUAAUGUGCAGCAUCCAUAUGCUCCUCUUACAUCUGUCCUUAACAAAAUAGGAUUUUCACAAACUGUCUUGGUGAACCUGGCUCUAAACUUGAUCAGUGAAGGGUGAGUUGAUUAUUGUCAUUGUCCUGUACUUCAUUGGCUAUUCAAUUUACAGGUUCUAUCAUAUCAAAUCAGUUAGUUAUAGUAAAGAAAUGAACAAGCUCUCAUGGACCGAGAUACUAUACUAUGAUGCUGAUCAUGCUUCUUUCUUCAGGAAGCAAUUUGAUUUAUUCUGUUGUAAGUUUAUUGUUUUUGGAUCUUUUAAGCGUAUUUCGGCUAAAGACACUCUUAAGGUUUAGGGAGUGGUGUUCCAUCUCUGAUGAUUAGUUCAUGUAGAUUUGGGAUGUGAGUGUUAGAAUCUCAACCAAUUAAAACAUUUCUGGAGAUUUCACGGUACCCGAGCCAUGGAUGAGGAUGCAUUGGGCUUCUUCUUGUUCUCUUUGGAUCAAAAUUGUGGUCUACACAAGAAUAGCGUGCUUGUUAGCUGGCGGAUUGAUAUGCUGUGAAUGGAAAGUUUUUUAAACUUCUGAAGUUGAACUGCUGAUAUGUUAUGGAUCACAUAACUGUGAUUAUAUCCCCCAUCAACCCGGUUAUCUUAUAUAAAGAUAGUCUUAGAACCUGGAGGACCAUUUUCAAUCCAACUCUUUUUGCCCUAUACUUCUAGUUUUUUAGACCGGUUACUUUCUUAUGGUGUUCCUUCAUUCUCAUCUGAAGGGACUUUGGCCACUUGACUAGGAUCUAUGACCAUAGGGUUCUUCCGUCUUUCAUUUUUUCUUUUUGAACCAUUUUGGGCCUUUUGUCUAAUUCAUAAUCGCAAUCUCUCCUUUCUUUUACAUAAAGCUGUUCCAAAUUAGAGCUGUUUCUGAAUUCAAUGUCAUUUAUGACUAGUUCUUUCCCCCCAAAAAAGAGUUCAUAUAUUUGUCCAUUUGUCAAACAAGUAUUGCCAUUUAAUAUGCAGAUAAGAACAGGUUGGGUGGCUGCAUAAUAUGACCAAUUUUAGAUUCAUAUCUAUGGUCUAUGAUGGUACUUGUGUACCUGUUUGGAGUGACCUGACACUUUGUAAUGGUAUGUGGAAUAAGAUCACAUGAGAUAUGAUCCGCUUUGGUCUCCAUUGGCCUCACGGUUUUGUCCCCUUUGUGUUUUUACAAACAUACUGUGUGGGGAUUGGGGGUACAUGUCAAUCUAUGUAUAUUGGCCUCACCAUGAUAGUUCUAGUAGUUGUGUUCAGCUUCUAUGUGGUAGUCGUGUGGACCUAUAUAGUUGGACCAAUUAUUGACCAUGGUGAAGACCUUCAAACUGGAAAACAACUAUGUUGUGAUAUUUCUAUAUUUUAAAUGGAUUACCCAAUACAUUCAUGAGUAUAGACAGAGAUUGUCCAUAUAUUUUUUGAAAAUCUAAAAUGUUAGUUUUAAACUUAAUUAAUAGUGCUCUUGAAAAAAUAUAUUAUAUGCUAUAUACUUGAAGUUAUGCUAUCAUUUCUGCAGUAUUAUUUUGUUUCUUGCCUUCCCCUUUUUUCUUUGAUAUUUGUCUUCUUGCUCCUAUGGUAAUAAAGUAUGAGUUUUUAUUGAAAGAACACUUUUCGCUUAGUACUGUCACCUUUGUUAAUACGCCAGUUUAUUUUAAAAUUUUUACAUGGAUUUUGCAUAAGGAUCGGUGCUAACUACAAAUACCUGAAGCUCAUUUAGCAUGUUUUUUUAUAGCAUUAUGUAGUUAAAAUUAUUAUCCUUCCCAUCCUAUCACUCUAUUUUUUCCAAUUAUUUUAUUUGGUCUCGCCGUUUGAGAGAGCCUGGUUGUGUAGGAUUUCAAGUAGAAAACUUUGUCUAGAAGGCUAUAGAAUAUUAAAACGUCUUCUCUUUAGUUAACUCAAGCUUAUAUUUGAACUAGUUGAAUGAAGUAUGGUCCAUUAGGUGUCUAAGGGAAGAAGUUGGACCAGAAAUUGGGGGAAAAGAAAGGAUAGGAAGCAUCUUCUACUCCUUUGAAUCCUUUGUGAGACAGAGGCUAGUAGAUAACAAAGAAAGGAAAAGGAAAAAAGGGAUUUGGUCAAUGGCUUACAUGAUAGCAGGAUUAAUAAAUUCUCUUUCUUUUUAUGUUACAAUUUGCAAGCUUAUGAAGUCAUCAUAGGUGUAAGUGGAAUGUCUGUAGCUAUUGGAUCAAUAAACUUAACAUGCGUUUAGCUUCUUUCACCUUGCAUUUUUAUUCAUUUAAAACAAUUAUUUUAUGGAGCUAUGCACUAUGCUUGGCAUAAAGUUCGAAAGUUAUAUACUUUAGUUCCUAUUUGGACAAUUGCACAAUAUGAGUAACAUCUUUUGAUUCAAACCUUGAUUGUGUAGACUUCCAGUUCCAAUCAAGCCUAAUUCAUGUAAUGUUAAAAUGUUUUGCCUUGAGAAUUGACUUUUUUGUUGUAGCUGCUUGCAACCAAAUGCCUUAGCAAUUCAGGUAGAAAAUUUUAUUUCUCUUGCGCACACGGAAAUUCCUCUGGUAUUAAGCUACUGCUUUGUUCAGCAAGAACAGAGCCUGAAAGCUUGUAUAUGGGUUGUCCUGUAUUGAUAUAUAUUUUAUAUAUUCAUAAAUUUUUGUAACAUGCAUUUUUAUUUUUCUUUUUUAAUCAUAAAUGUUUGUUUUUCUACUUAGCAUGAUCAUGUUUUCUAUUUCCUAAAGACAACCCAUCUUAGGCCUUGAGCCCCCCCACCCCCUGUUCUUUGAAGCGGAAGGGGAAAAGUCUUGUGGAGUUUAUGGGAUGGGGGAUGAUCACGAUGCAAUCAUUGUGUAGCCUCGAGAACUAAAGCCACUCAAUGGACACCUCCUGUCCAAAAUAAAAGUUAAAACAACAUGAGCUGUUGAGAAAUUUAAAAAUAAUUUCCAUGGAACAUCUGAAAGGACUGUGGAGGGGCUAAGUUAUUCACUCAUGUUUCAGAUGCCCCUAUGAAGCAGGCAUUGA
RNA transcript from Ricinus communis (castor bean), 4074 nucleotides. It is a transcript of the gene named cyclin-T1-5, with no coding region annotated. Lineage: Eukaryota; Viridiplantae; Streptophyta; Magnoliopsida; Malpighiales; Euphorbiaceae. The record is from RefSeq and is a predicted model, not a curated record. The transcript has 6 exons.